AUGUUUGAAAAAAACGACUUACGUGGUUUGGUUUCUUUUUAGGGAAAAACCGAACCAUGAACACCCCUACCUACAAGUAACUACAAUUGCCUCUUGCUUAUUGGCAUGUUUAAAUAUGCCCAUGCUUUAGAUAUGAAACUGAUUGAAGAAUUUUUAUUGAUGUGAUUGAAUAGGAGAUGGAUAAGUAUUAUGAUCUACUAAACAUUUUGAAGAAAGUUGGAUAUCUCCAAGGUGCACAAACAUAAAUGCUGCUUGGUAGUCUCAAACUUGCAACAGUCACUCUCAAGCUACAGAAGAUAAUAAGAAGGUUGUUUUAUGAGUUAGUCAGGAUGAUUUGGCGUAUCGAGAAUGAUGGGUGAUGGAGACUGUAAGAAUGGUUUAUGUUUGGAAACUUCGCGGAAUUAUCUUCUUGGAGUAACUUUUAUAUACAGGAUUUCAAUGGCAAGGGCCAAGGGGUGAUCAUAUCCAUCUGAUUAUUUUACUCGAGGAAUUACCAAGUCUUAUGGCCGCAUAAAAUGGCAGAAACAAUAUGCAGCAGUUACAAUCAUUUGUCACUGGGAAACGACGUUUAAAGGCUGAUGAGUCGCAGAACGCAAUAGAGGAACAACAGAAUAAUUUGGUUGAAGAGAUCAGGAAUGCAGUUGAUGAUCAUAUAAGAGUAGGCUGGAGGAUGCUACUGGAGGUCCUGAAGUAAUGGCUCUGAAUUAGCGAGUGAAUUACGACUAUGCUCCGUGAUUAUAACUUUAUUCUUUCAUACAUCAGCUAACUGUAGCAACAGAUCUCCUAAUGCAGUACCUAAAUUCAAGUCUUUAA
Long non-coding RNA from Nicotiana attenuata, 813 nucleotides. RefSeq lists it as uncharacterized. The transcript has 2 exons. The record is from RefSeq and is a predicted model, not a curated record. Lineage: Eukaryota; Viridiplantae; Streptophyta; Magnoliopsida; Solanales; Solanaceae.